RNAcentral lists this long non-coding RNA (419 nucleotides) under Vigna radiata. Its description in RNAcentral is "long non-coding RNA (VRAD_LNC002187)". Lineage: Eukaryota; Viridiplantae; Streptophyta; Magnoliopsida; Fabales; Fabaceae. The record is from RNAcentral.
AUGAAACAACACAAUAAACGCAGAAACACGAAACAUAACAGAAUCACAGAGAACAGAAACACAAAGAAACAUCAAGAACAUAACUUAUUAUUAACGAGAAAUGAAAAUUACAAAAGUUUACCGAACAAAGAUGCAAUCGGAGCCACCACGGGCUGUCACCACCGUGGUUGAGCGCUCCAAAAGCACGAAAACCAAAACCCUAAGCUAAAGGCGAAAAGUAAAAUUGUAGAGAGUGUCAAAGAGUGUGUCUAAGAGUCUGUAAAAAAACCCUAUUUACAUGGCAAGAGCCCCUUUUUAUAGGGUUCAAAAAAAAAUGAAAAGAAAGAAAAUGAAAGGGGGAAAAGGGAAAGAGGAAACUUGCUCUCUAUGCUUUGAUAAUCGGACGACCAACCUUUCUUUUGCCUCCAUCCGUUUGAUCU